UUACGGCCAUAUCACAUUGAAACACCACUUCCCAAACAGUCACUGAAGUUAAGCAACAUUGAGCCUGGUCAGUACCUAGAUGGUUAACUGCUUGGGAAUAUCAGGU
Molecule: non-coding RNA, 106 nt
Organism: Acanthosepion pharaonis
Lineage: Eukaryota; Metazoa; Mollusca; Cephalopoda; Sepiida; Sepiidae
Source: the annotation of a GenBank genome assembly